ACGAACGCUGGCGGCGUGCCUAACACAUGCAAGUCGAGCGGUUCAAGCAGCAAUGUUUGGAUAGCGGCGGACGGGUGAGUAACGCGUGGGCAACCUACCUUCUACUGGGGGAUAACACCUGGAAACGGGUGCUAAUACCGUAUAUGACCACGCCGGGGCAUCCCGGAGGGGUGAAAGCGUUUAAAGCGGCAGGAGAUGAGUUCGCGUCCAAUUAGUUAGUUGGCGGGAUAAAGGCCCACCAAGACUUCGAUUGGUAGCCGGCUUGAGAGAGCGAACGGCCACACUGGAACUGAGACACGGUCCAGACUCCUACGGGAGGCAGCAGUGGGGAAUAUUGGGCAAUGGAGGAAACUCUUACCCAGCAAUGCCGCGUGAGUGAAUGAAGGUCUUCGGAUUGUAAAGCUCUUUAAUCGGGGACGAAGAAAUGACGGUACCCGAGGAAUAAGCCCCGGCUAACUAUGUGCCAGCAGCCGCGGUAAUACAUAGGGGGCGAGCGUUGUCCGGAAUGACUGGGCGUAAAGGGUGUGUAGGCGGUCUGACAAGUCGGAAGUGUAAUACCUUCGCUUAACGAAGGUGCUGCUUCCGAAACUGUGGGACUACGAGUGUCGGAGAGGAAAACGGAAUUCCUGAUGUAGCGGUGGAAUGCGUAGAUAUCAGGAGGAACACCGGAGGCGAAAGCGGUUUUCUGGACGACAACUGACGCUGAGGCACGAAAGCGUGGGGAGCAAACAGGAUUAGAUACCCUGGUAGUCCACGCUGUAAACGAUGGAUACUGGGUGUAGGGGGUAUCGACUCCCCCUGUACCGAAGCAAACGCAUUAAGUAUCCCGCCUGGGGAGUACGGCCGCAAGGUUGAAACUCAAAGGAAUUGACGGGGACCCGCACAAGCAGCGGAGCAUGUGGUUUAAUUCGAAGCAACACGAAGAACCUUACCAAGACUUGACAUCGUACGGCGACGUCGGAAACGACGUUUUCCCCGCAAGGGGACGUAUAGACAGGUGGUGCAUGGUUGUCGUCAGCCCGUGUCGUGAGAUGUUGGGUUAAGUCCCGCAACGAGCGCAACCCUUAUCGACAGUUGCCAAUAUUAAGUUAGGAACUCUGUCGAGACUGCCGCGGAUAACGCGGAGGAAGGUGAGGAUGACGUCAAAUCAUCAUGCCCCUUACGUCUUGGGCUACACACGUGCUACAAUGGCCGUUACAAAGGGCAGCGAAAUGGCAACAUGAAGCAAAUCCCAUAAAGACGGUCUCAGUUCAGAUUGCGGGCUGCAACUCGCCCGCAUAAAGACGGAGUUGCUAGUAAUCCCGAAUCAGAAUGUCGGGGUGAAUGCGUUCCCGGGUCUUGUACACACCGC
Molecule: ribosomal RNA, 1351 nt
Filed under: uncultured bacterium
Lineage: Bacteria
Description: bacterial SSU rRNA
Rfam family: Bacterial small subunit ribosomal RNA
Source: RNAcentral